This 165-nucleotide ribosomal RNA is filed under the name uncultured dinoflagellate. RNAcentral's name for it is "partial 18S ribosomal RNA". It matches the Rfam family "Eukaryotic small subunit ribosomal RNA", at positions 1485 to 1650 of the family's 1831-position model. Lineage: Eukaryota; Dinophyceae. The record is from RNAcentral.
GACCUNCCGCGCGCUCANUGAUGCACUCAACGAGUUUACGACCUUGCCCGGUAGGGUUGGGUAAUCUUUUUAAAAUGCAUCGUGAUGGGGAUAGAUUAUUGCAAUUAUUAAUCUUCAACGAGGAAUUCCUAGUAAGCACGAGUCAUCAGCUCGUGCUGAUUACGU